This 246-nucleotide ribosomal RNA is filed under the name uncultured bacterium. RNAcentral's name for it is "partial 16S ribosomal RNA". It matches the Rfam family "Bacterial small subunit ribosomal RNA", at positions 524 to 766 of the family's 1533-position model. The record is from RNAcentral.
UACGAAGGGGGGCUAGCGUUGUUCGGAAUCACUGGGCGUAAAGCGCGCGUAGGCGGAUUGUUAAGUCGGGGGUGAAAUCCCGAGGCUCAACCUCGGAACUGCCUUCGAUACUGGCGAUCUUGAGUCCGGGAGAGGUGAGUGGAACUCCUAGUGUAGAGGUGAAAUUCGUAGAUAUUAGGAAGAACACCAGUGGCGAAGGCGGCUCACUGGCCCCGGUACUGACGCUGAUGUGCGAAAAGCGUGGGG